GUUUUCCUGGUGCCCGCAAGGCUCAGCGUGCAGAGCAGCUCUUGGCGUGCUCCUUGCAGGAGGAUCACCUCGACUCAGCUGUUCUCAGCUUACAGCGGGUGUCCUUCUGUUUCUCUAUUUUCUUGCAGAGUCCGUGGACUCGUGCAGGUGUCCUGUUUUUGCCCUUUUUACUUGCACAGUCUCAGGACUUGUGCAAGUGGGGUUUUUUCUAUUUUUGUUUCCCGGCCUACGGACUCGAGCAGCCCUGCUCAAAGGAUGGAGGCAGUCCGUAGAGCAGUCAGCAGCGCCUUCUCAUUGGCGGCUUCUCGGAAAGCUCUUCGUCGUUUGGCUGAUCGCCUCAGAGGUGGAAGGAGUCAAGCACGCCCUUCGGUCCCGCUAGGCGAGGUCCUUGCCAGUCAGGACUCCUGGGCCCAGGCAGGAAAGGCGGAGGGGCAGGAGAGCACAGAUCGAGUGCGUGGUGCUCAGGAG
Passer domesticus (house sparrow) is the source of this 468-nucleotide long non-coding RNA. RefSeq lists it as uncharacterized. The transcript is spliced from 3 exons. The record is from RefSeq and is a predicted model, not a curated record. NCBI's taxonomy places the organism in Eukaryota, Metazoa, Chordata, Aves, Passeriformes, Passeridae.